This 1403-nucleotide long non-coding RNA is filed under the name Equus caballus (horse). Its description in RNAcentral is "lncRNA (ENSECAG00000050303.1)". The record is from RNAcentral. Lineage: Eukaryota; Metazoa; Chordata; Mammalia; Perissodactyla; Equidae.
AGCGAUUCAGGCAGCGAUCAGACUGGAGAGUGGAAACGUGAGUCUGACAGGGAUCACCACAGAGAAAAAGGUUCACUUGUUGGUUUUGAAGGAUGAUUUCCAAGAUUUGGGGUCAGCAUCGACCCUCCUUGUGAAGAACUGAAAGGACCACGGAACAUCUGCUGAGGGGUCGCGGAGGCGCUGAGAGGCUGCGGAGCUGUCACAGCAGGAAGUGAUCCAGGAGGGCAGAGCAGGUGUCCCGCUGCGAGUGUGGGGCUCCCUCCAGCUCCCCGAGGAGCGGUCCGUGCUUAUUAGAGGCGAUUGAUUGCACCGGGAGCAAGGAGUCGUUCCUCGUCCUCCUUGUGGGCACAGCGGGUGAUGAAUGACUCACCGACCAGCUGUCAACGAGGAGCCACCGCUAAUAAAUAGAGAUGCGUGGACCUCGUGGGCUGGCAUUAUUGCUCGCCUCUACCUAGGGGCUGCUUGACUCCGCUGGCCCCUCAUUCAUCACGGCCCUGCGGGGCGUGGCAGCCUGUGCGAGGCAGGAGGACUCUCACUCUGCCUCCUGAGCCUCCGGAGCCCUCCUCACUUCUGUUAGAACCGCCUGUAGCUGCGAGAGCUGCUCUGGCCACUGAAAUGAAGGUUUAUGACCAGGAGAAAAGACCUGCCUUGCUCCUCUCUGCAGCAGCUCUAACCUCCUCCUCGUCUCCUGCUUUAUGCCCUUUCCUAUCUGAACAAAAACCGGUGUCUUUUUCCUAAAGACAAAUAGAUGGAGAAUCUAUUUAAUUGACAUGGUGGACAGGGACCCGUCACAGCGGACCAAAAAAAAAAAAAUGCCGCAUGCUUUUCCCCAAGGGCUUUUGUGAAGUCCGAUCUGAGAUGAGUGUCCAGUGUUCGGGGAGCCACUGCCUGCCUUUUACUUCUUGUUUCCUGGGCCCAAGCUUCCUCUAAGUCAAUUUUAAUACAAUGCUAGUAACUCAGCUGAAAACAUGAGCAUUAAAUCCCAUAAUUUUACCAGGUUGGCUGUGUAAAUAACACUCCAAGCGUCUGCCAUUUAAUUGUUCAUUCGUUCACUCACUCAUUCAUUCGUAUGUCCAUCAAGCAUCCUUGAGCGCUUCUCCUUGCCCACACCAGGCCAGGCACCACCCAGGAAGCAGAGCAUUGGCCUCCCUGGAAUGAGCUGGCGCCCCUCCUCCCCAACCCCAACUUUCUCAGGUCUUUUCUUCAGAUUCCAGCGGAGGCGGCUCACCUGUCAGAAAUUAGCUGUUUAACAGAGCACGAUUUUUAAGCUUCCUAAUCCUUACUGGGUUUUUUUGUGAUGAUAACUAAGGUGCUGACCUGACCUGACGCAGAGGUCCCUGGUGGGAUGCGGGGUCUGCCACGCUUGCUCCUAUCAGGUAGGGGCAGGGAAGGCUCAUGAGUUU